UACGAACUGUGCGAACGUUAUUCGGUAUCACUGGGCUUAAAGAGUUCGUAGGCGGCCUAGCAGGUCAGGUGUGAAAUCCCACAGCUCAACUGUGGAACUGCGCUUGAAACCGAAAGGCUCGAGGGAGAUAGAGGUGAGCGGAACAGAUGGUGGAGCGGUGAAAUGCGUUGAUAUCAUCUGGAACACCGGUGGCGAAAGCGGCUCACUGGAUCUCUUCUGACGCUGAGGAACGGAAGCUAGGGUAGCGAACGGG
This 253-nucleotide unclassified non-coding RNA is filed under the name uncultured Pirellulaceae bacterium. RNAcentral's name for it is "contains 16S-23S intergenic spacer region". It matches the Rfam family "Bacterial small subunit ribosomal RNA", at positions 524 to 776 of the family's 1533-position model. The record is from RNAcentral. Lineage: Bacteria; Pseudomonadati; Planctomycetota; Planctomycetia; Pirellulales; Pirellulaceae.